Molecule: ribosomal RNA, 253 nt
Filed under: uncultured bacterium
Lineage: Bacteria
Description: partial 16S ribosomal RNA
Rfam family: Bacterial small subunit ribosomal RNA
Source: RNAcentral
GACGAACCAUGCAAACGUUAUUCGGAUUCACUGGGCUUAAAGCGUGCGUAGGCGGUCUUGUUAGUCAGGUGUGAAAGCCCUCAGCCUAACUGAGGAAUUGCGCUUGAUACUGCAUGACUAGAGAAUGAUAGAGGUGGGUGGAACUGAUGGUGGAGCGGUGAAAUGCGUUGAUAUCAUCAGGAACACCGGUGGCGAAGGCGGGUCUCUGGGCCGUAACUGACGCUGAGGAGCGAAAGCAUGGGGAGCGAACAGG